UACGUAGGGUGCGAGCGUUAAUCGGAAUUACUGGACGUAAAGCGUGCGCAGGCGGUCUGUUAAGACCGAUGUGAAAUCCCCGGGCUUAACCUGGGAACUGCAUUGGUGACUGGCAGGCUUUGAGUGUGGCAGAGGGAGGUAGAAUUCCACGUGUAGCAGUGAAAUGCGUAGAGAUGUGGAGGAAUACCGAUGGCGAAGGCAGCCUCCUGGGCCAACACUGACGCUCAUGCACGAAAGCGUGGGGAGCAAACAGG
RNAcentral lists this ribosomal RNA (254 nucleotides) under uncultured bacterium. Its description in RNAcentral is "partial 16S ribosomal RNA". It matches the Rfam family "Bacterial small subunit ribosomal RNA", at positions 524 to 776 of the family's 1533-position model. The record is from RNAcentral.